CCGGGAUCCCAUUACCCUUUCAGUCUCGGGGACGGCUUUCACUGAGGGAGAGGCAGAGCGAGCAUCGCUGCCUCCUCGCCUCCGUCUCUCUCCUCUCGUCCUCGCCGUGCAGCACCUCGUUCCACCCGUCUCUCCAUCCCUCCUGUCGUCCUCCACGGCCCGCCACGCGUCCUGCGCUUUCCUGACCCUGACCUCGCCCUGACCCAAGGCACCGUAAAGCUGCAGUGCGUGCAGAGAGUGUGUACCGACGCAUGUGCGGACUACACACACAUCAGAUUAACAGCGGAUGUAAUCCGUCAAACACUUUAAAGACCUGACCCACAGGAACCGGC
Long non-coding RNA from Ictalurus punctatus (channel catfish), 332 nucleotides. The record is from Ensembl. NCBI's taxonomy places the organism in Eukaryota, Metazoa, Chordata, Actinopteri, Siluriformes, Ictaluridae.